Molecule: long non-coding RNA, 1840 nt
Organism: Equus asinus (donkey)
Lineage: Eukaryota; Metazoa; Chordata; Mammalia; Perissodactyla; Equidae
Source: Ensembl
CAAAAAUGGCUCCAAAUUCUUUAUCAGCAUCACUGUAACAGUCUAAACAUGAAAGUUGCACUAAUACAAAAUCUUUCUGUUCACAACGGCAAGAUUUAUGCAACUGUUAUUUAUAAACAUUUUUUUUUUCUAAUCAUGAGGCUGACAUCACCAAAGUAAAAAAGAAAGUCACUAUCAGCUGGAAUUUAUUCACUGCAGAAUUUUUAAAAUCACUUAUUCAUUAAUCUAGAAUGGGUUCUCUUCACUUUCCCCAACCAUACUAUGUGACGACAAGAGGAAAAGAUGGCAAAUGGUUGUGUCUAGUCUUAUUAUAUACUGAUUAUAUAUAUGAUUCUCAGUUUAAUCUACUGAUCAAAACAAAGACAUAGAAUUUUAAUAUCAACUCUACCACAUUUAAAAAAUUCAUCAAAAUCAGCUCUUUCUUAUAAAAGGGGAGUUGGCAGCAUAUUCUCAGACAAGAAUAAUAGUACCGCUCUUUCUCACAAUGUCUACUGCAGUGCACUCUGCUCACUACGCAUGAGCCAGCUGGUUAGGUUCAGCAUUCCCACAGACUGCCCAGCAAGUCUCACGUCUGGGCUGCUAGUCACCUUGAGAUAAGAUCUGCACAUGUCUAAAAGAAAAAUAAGCCCCAGAGGCUACAACAGUUAUUCCACUCAAGAGAUGGGAGAGGCAAUCAUUUUAAACUGGAAAAAAAGAUAGCCAUGUUGAAGUGGGAACUAUUUUUCGGUAUGUAAAUAAUUAUUAAAUAGAACAAAAGAUUUUCAAAAUCUGAAUUCCUAGUGUCUCUAACAUGUUUUUUGUGAACGCAUCAAGAACAAUGGUGUGCCUCUCUCAUAAGGCAGCCUAGUGAGUUUUCCUCCAAUUAUUUCCAUGAUGAUCUCUGCAUGUUUCUAAAACGUUUUCUUUCUAAACAUUCACAGCACUUCAUCUAAACCAGCUGUUAGUCUGCACAUCUGAGUCAGGAAAUCUUUGUUGUCACUUGGUUUCAAAGUGUUGUACAAGCAAUUUCCUGUUUACCACUUACUUUGGACUGCACUAGGUGUAUUCUGAGCUAGGACAAAAAUGUGGGGAUAUAUGACAGUUGAAGAAUUACCAUAUCUCAUCUUGCUCUAUACUCCUUACUUUUGCUAUUUCUAGAUGCCUUCCCAAUUCAAAUGACUGAACCGAACAACACAGGCACGCACAUUUACUGGAUUUUUCUUGAGAAGUUAAAUUAUGUUCACUACCUCUCAGCCAGAACUGGGUGAGGAUAACGGAAAGAGAAUUCAAUAUUAGACUGAGAUAGAAAAAGGUUUUCUGGGAAAGCCUUGAUAUAAGUGUUCUUUUUCUCAGGCAGAAUCAAGGAAAAUUGAAGUUGGAAAAACUCUCAACAAUCAUAUGGCCACUUUCCCCAUCUGAUACCGGAACUCUUGUAAAAUCUCCGCCAAGGUGUUGUCCAGCCUCUGCUAGAAGAGCUGUAGGGGCAGGAAGCUGCUCCAACAUUACUUACUCCCCCUUAGAACAGAACCGCAAAACAGGUGGGGCAGGCAAAUUAACUUACACUAACCAUAGUUAUGAAUUGUAUCUAACUUUUCAAGAGAGUUAGCUGACUGUCAGUUGCUAUGUAAAGGAAUAAACCAGAUUUGUUCCUAGCAUUUCUUGCUUUCUGCAAUGAUUCAAAAUGGGAAGAUAUGACUUAGAAAUGUGAAUUUUAUAAAUCAUUGUUGAAGAGCUGUGUGUGGGAGCCCAUAAAAAUAUCUUAGAAGUAAUUAUUAUAGGGACCCCAAAACAAAGGGAAAACUAAUGUUUUGAAUAAUAAAUAAAAGUUUCAUUUCGAAGAUGCAAUAAACACCUCGUGCAG